UACGUAGGGGGCAAGCGUUGUCCGGAUUCAUUUGGGCGUAAAGAGCUCGUAGGCGGCUUGGCAAGUCGGGUGUGAAACCUCCAGCUCAACCUGGAGACGCCACCCGAUACUGCCAUGGCUAGAGUCCGGUAGGGGACCACGGAAUUCCUGGUGUAGCGGUGGAAAUGCGCAGAUAUCAGGAGGAACACCGGUGGCGAAGGCGGUGGUCUGGGCCGGAACUGACGCUGAGGAGCGAAAGCGUGGGGAGCGAACAGG
RNAcentral lists this ribosomal RNA (255 nucleotides) under uncultured bacterium. RNAcentral describes it as "partial 16S ribosomal RNA". It matches the Rfam family "Bacterial small subunit ribosomal RNA", at positions 524 to 776 of the family's 1533-position model. The record is from RNAcentral.